UAGAGGAAGUAAAAGUCGUAACAAGGUCUCCGUUGGUGAACCAGCGGAGGGAUCAUUACCGAGUUUACAACUCCCAAACCCAAAUGUGAACAUACCCAAUUGUUGCUUCGGCGGACUCGCCCCAGCGUCCGGACGACCUCGCGUCGCCCGCGGCCUGGAUCCAGGCGGCCGCCGGGGAAAACCAAAACUCUUUGUAUUAUAUAUUCUUCUGAAUGAGCCGCAAGGCAACAAAAAUGAAUCAAAACUUUCAACAACGGAUCUCUUGGUUCUGGCAUCGAUGAAGAACGCAGCGAAAUGCGAUAAGUAAUGUGAAUUGCAGAAUUCAGUGAAUCAUCGAAUCUUUGAACGCACAUUGCGCCCGGCAGCAUUCUGCCGGGCAUGCCUGUUCGAGCGUCAUUUCAACCCUCGAGCUCCCUUUGGGGAGCACGGUGUUGGGGACCGGCAGCACACUGAGCCGACCCCGAAAUGGAGUGGCGGCCCGUCCGCGGCGACCUCUGCGUAGUAAUUAUCACCUCGCACCGGGAACCCGACGUGGCCACGCCUCAAAACAACCCAAUUUCUGAACGUUGACCUCGGAUCAGGUAGGAAUACCCGCUGAACUUAAGCAUAUCA
RNAcentral lists this ribosomal RNA (612 nucleotides) under Hypocreales sp. 17WV12. RNAcentral's name for it is "eukaryotic LSU rRNA". The stretch from base 243 to 396 matches the Rfam family "5.8S ribosomal RNA". The record is from RNAcentral. Lineage: Eukaryota; Fungi; Ascomycota; Sordariomycetes; Hypocreales.